UUAAGCGACUAAGCGUACACGGUGGAUGCCCUGGCAGUCAGAGGCGAUGAAGGACGUGCUAAUCUGCGAUAAGCGUCGGUAAGGUGAUAUGAACCGUUAUAACCGGCGAUUUCCGAAUGGGGAAACCCAGUGUGUUUCGACACACUAUCAUUAACUGAAUCCAUAGGUUAAUGAGGCGAACCGGGGGAACUGAAACAUCUAAGUACCCCGAGGAAAAGAAAUCAACCGAGAUUCCCCCAGUAGCGGCGAGCGAACGGGGAGCAGCCCAGAGCCUGAAUCAGUGUGUGUGUUAGUGGAAGCGUCUGGAAAGGCGCGCGAUACAGGGUGACAGCCCCGUACACAAAAAUGCACAUAUUGUGAGCUCGAUGAGUAGGGCGGGACACGUGGUAUCCUGUCUGAAUAUGGGGGGACCAUCCUCCAAGGCUAAAUACUCCUGACUGACCGAUAGUGAACCAGUACCGUGAGGGAAAGGCGAAAAGAACCCCGGCGAGGGGAGUGAAAAAGAACCUGAAACCGUGUACGUACAAGCAGUGGGAGCACGCUUAGGCGUGUGACUGCGUACCUUUUGUAUAAUGGGUCAGCGACUUAUAUUCUGUAGCAAGGUUAACCGAAUAGGGGAGCCGAAGGGAAACCGAGUCUUAACUGGGCGUUAAGUUGCAGGGUAUAGACCCGAAACCCGGUGAUCUAGCCAUGGGCAGGUUGAAGGUUGGGUAACACUAACUGGAGGACCGAACCGACUAAUGUUGAAAAAUUAGCGGAUGACUUGUGGCUGGGGGUGAAAGGCCAAUCAAACCGGGAGAUAGCUGGUUCUCCCCGAAAGCUAUUUAGGUAGCGCCUCGUGAAUUCAUCUCCGGGGGUAGAGCACUGUUUCGGCAAGGGGGUCAUCCCGACUUACCAACCCGAUGCAAACUGCGAAUACCGGAGAAUGUUAUCACGGGAGACACACGGCGGGUGCUAACGUCCGUCGUGAAGAGGGAAACAACCCAGACCGCCAGCUAAGGUCCCAAAGUCAUGGUUAAGUGGGAAACGAUGUGGGAAGGCCCAGACAGCCAGGAUGUUGGCUUAGAAGCAGCCAUCAUUUAAAGAAAGCGUAAUAGCUCACUGGUCGAGUCGGCCUGCGCGGAAGAUGUAACGGGGCUAAACCAUGCACCGAAGCUGCGGCAGCGACGCUUAUGCGUUGUUGGGUAGGGGAGCGUUCUGUAAGCCUGUGAAGGUGUGCUGUGAGGCAUGCUGGAGGUAUCAGAAGUGCGAAUGCUGACAUAAGUAACGAUAAAGCGGGUGAAAAGCCCGCUCGCCGGAAGACCAAGGGUUCCUGUCCAACGUUAAUCGGGGCAGGGUGAGUCGACCCCUAAGGCGAGGCCGAAAGGCGUAGUCGAUGGGAAACAGGUUAAUAUUCCUGUACUUGGUGUUACUGCGAAGGGGGGACGGAGAAGGCUAUGUUGGCCGGGCGACGGUUGUCCCGGUUUAAGCGUGUAGGCUGGUUUUCCAGGCAAAUCCGGAAAAUCAAGGCUGAGGCGUGAUGACGAGGCACUACGGUGCUGAAGCAACAAAUGCCCUGCUUCCAGGAAAAGCCUCUAAGCAUCAGGUAACAUCAAAUCGUACCCCAAACCGACACAGGUGGUCAGGUAGAGAAUACCAAGGCGCUUGAGAGAACUCGGGUGAAGGAACUAGGCAAAAUGGUGCCGUAACUUCGGGAGAAGGCACGCUGAUAUGUAGGUGAAGUCCCUCGCGGAUGGAGCUGAAAUCAGUCGAAGAUACCAGCUGGCUGCAACUGUUUAUUAAAAACACAGCACUGUGCAAACACGAAAGUGGACGUAUACGGUGUGACGCCUGCCCGGUGCCGGAAGGUUAAUUGAUGGGGUUAGCCGCAAGGCGAAGCUCUUGAUCGAAGCCCCGGUAAACGGCGGCCGUAACUAUAACGGUCCUAAGGUAGCGAAAUUCCUUGUCGGGUAAGUUCCGACCUGCACGAAUGGCGUAAUGAUGGCGGGCUGUCUCCACCCGAGACUCAGUGAAAUUGAACUCGCUGUGAAGAUGCAGUGUACCCGCGGCAAGACGGAAAGACCCCGUGAACCUUUACUAUAGCUUGACACUGAACAUUGAGCCUUGAUGUGUAGGAUAGGUGGGAGGCUUUGAAGUGUGGACGCCAGUCUGCAUGGAGCCGACCUUGAAAUACCACCCUUUAAUGUUUGAUGUUCUAACGUUGACCCGUAAUCCGGGUUGCGGACAGUGUCUGGUGGGUAGUUUGACUGGGGCGGUCUCCUCCUAAAGAGUAACGGAGGAGCACGAAGGUUGGCUAAUCCUGGUCGGACAUCAGGAGGUUAGUGCAAUGGCAUAAGCCAGCUUGACUGCGAGCGUGACGGCGCGAGCAGGUGCGAAAGCAGGUCAUAGUGAUCCGGUGGUUCUGAAUGGAAGGGCCAUCGCUCAACGGAUAAAAGGUACUCCGGGGAUAACAGGCUGAUACCGCCCAAGAGUUCAUAUCGACGGCGGUGUUUGGCACCUCGAUGUCGGCUCAUCACAUCCGGGCUGAAGUAGGUCCCAAGGGUAUGGCUGUUCGCCAUUUAAAGUGGUACGCGAGCUGGGUUUAGAACGUCGUGAGACAGUUCGGUCCCUAUCUGCCGUGGGCGCUGGAGAACUGAGGGGGGCUGCUCCUAGUACGAGAGGACCGGAGUGGACGCAUCACUGGUGUUCGGGUUGUCAUGCCAAUGGCACUGCCCGGUAGCUAAAUGCGGAAGAGAUAAGUGCUGAAAGCAUCUAAGCACGAAACUUGCCCCGAGAUGAGUUCUCCCUGACUCCUUGAGAGUCCUGAAGGAACGUUGAAGACGACGACGUUGAUAGGCCGGGUGUGUAAGCGCAGCGAUGCGUUGAGCUAACCGGUACUAAUGAACCGUGAGGCUUAACCU
RNAcentral lists this ribosomal RNA (2900 nucleotides) under Escherichia coli. RNAcentral's name for it is "23S ribosomal RNA". It matches the Rfam family "Bacterial large subunit ribosomal RNA". Lineage: Bacteria; Pseudomonadati; Pseudomonadota; Gammaproteobacteria; Enterobacterales; Enterobacteriaceae. The record is from RNAcentral.